This is a long non-coding RNA of Pseudopipra pipra, 3931 nucleotides long. RefSeq lists it as uncharacterized. The record is from RefSeq and is a predicted model, not a curated record. The transcript has 3 exons. NCBI's taxonomy places the organism in Eukaryota, Metazoa, Chordata, Aves, Passeriformes, Pipridae.
GGGGGGGGGGGGAAUGUAUAUAGGUAGUUAGAGAUCUCCCUGCCUGCCUCCUCCCCUCCCCCGAGAAGGGCAGCUCCGAUCCUGCAGAAACGCCUGAAACUGUUUCAGACCAAGGAGCUUUGUGCUGACUUCACCGUGCUGCAAGAUCAGUCCUUCUUCCCCAUCUAUGCAAGUGAGACAACCUUCCCCUCCCCAUACUGCAGAUACAACUGAGGUGGAUUAAGCACCUGAAAUCAUUUCUUCUUCUCAAUUAAGUUCCAGAUCCAAGCAAGGUACAGCUCAAAAUUAUCAUGUGAUAUAUCAUUGCAGAAUCACAGAAUGUGCUGAGUUGGAAGGGACCGACAAGGAUCAUCGAGUCCAGCUCCUGGCCCUGCACGGGACCAUCCCCAAGAGUCACACGAUGUGCCUGAGAGUAUCAUCCAAACACUACUUGAACUCUGUUAGGCUUGGUGCUGGGGAGCCCAACCACUCUCGGGGUGAAGAACCUUUUCCUAAUAUCCAGCCUAAACGUCCCCUGACACAACUUCUGGCCAUUUCCUCGGGUCCUGUCCCUCGUCACCACAGAGAAUAGGUCAGUGUCUGCCCCUCUUCUUCCCUUCAUGAGGAAGUUGUAGACUGCAAUGAAGUCUCCCCUCAGUCUCCUCUUGUCCAGGCUGAACACACCAAGUGACCUCAGCCACACCUCAUAUGGCUUCCCCUCAAGGCCCUUCACCAUCUUCAUUGCCCUCCUUUGGAUGCUCUCUAAUAGCUUAAUAUCUUUCUUAUAUUUUAGUGACCAAAAUGCACUGAAAGCUAUUACUUCAUCACUCAACUCUCUUUAGAAAUUGAUACUGUCAGUUCAUUUUUAUUGUUAUCUUUAUAAGAAAUUAUUUCAUUUGGUGUUAAAUAUAAAACUAUUUAUUGAAUACAGUUUUUGAUAUUUGCAUAUUUCAUUUGACUCUGAAUAUGGUUGCUUGAUGUAUUUGUAAUGAGUCUCUACUUCCAAUGCAAGUUUCAUUUACUUUAAUGAACAGAUCAGUUUGCCAAUUGUCUCCAUGAGUAAAUUUGGAUCUGUGGUUGUUAUCACUUGUUACAUUUCUUUCUCUAACUUCCCACCUCAGUGUCACAACAGGAACAGAAUAUUUGUUUGUUUGGAAAAUAGACACAUAGGAACACACUUGAGUCUUGCUCUAAAAAGCAAUGGCAAACUAGAUGGGAAAACUCUCUUCUGAAACCCAACCUGUGAUUAUAUUUUAGUAUCAGAACUUUAACAAGGAAUCAUGUUGGUGUAGCCUACAUUUUUAAUGUAGUCCUUCAGGUAGCGUAGACAUAAUUGAGUUUAUAAUGUAGUUUGUUAGAGAAGUGAUAACGCACCAGAAGCAGCUCACAGAAUUCUGUGUGAAAGAAGAGACUUGUACUUAUAAAUAAAAUUUAUUACUAAUUUUAAACAGUGAGUAUUUAAUGAACAUAGUAUAGAAAAUACUGCCUGACCAAGUCUCCAGUUAAUAUCCAGGUUAAGCUCUGCAACAAAACCAAUCUCACCUGUACCAGCAUUAGGCCUUUCUUACAGAUUACCCAACACAUGUAGUUAAUAAUAAUUAGAUGUGGUCUUCUUCCCCGACUCAACCCUCCUGUCCUGACCAAACCUGAGUUUUACCAAGCAACCAGAGCCACCCACAGUGCGUGGCCCCAUCGUCUCGACACUUGCGUAUUUUCCCAACAGUUUGCCCAGCUUGAAAGCCAUGGCAUGGAAGGUAACGUGCAGACGUCUGGCAUCCCUGCCCUCCCGAUCCAGUUGUGAUUUUUUGGCAUCCUGCGACCCCUAGUGAGAGCCGGGGCGGGCGAGAGGGCAGCAGCCACCCUGCCCCCGCCUCUGGCCCUCCGGCCCGGGGCCGCCAGCGCCGGCGGGCUCCCGCCAGGCACCCGCUGUUUCCAGGUCGUGGGCAAAACAUCUCUCUAGGGAUUUCCGUUUCCCCCGUUAACUGGCUGAAAGCUACUAUAAAAACAUAAUAACGCGUUGCCUUUGGUCGCUUUGAAACAAUGCGCUGAUUGUGUUGCAACUUCACACACAAAACUGCUAUAAACUCUCAAGGCAAUGGAGGGAGAGGCAAGAGACAGCACCCGUCUUCUACAUACCACCCCAAAAAAAGAAAUAAAAUUGCCGGCUACACUUCUACUUAAUUAUGUACAUGUAAGGCCUAAGCCUUUGCAAAUAACGACUAAUAGUAUUUGUUUGCCCACUGGUGUUAGGAAAAUAUCAGUGAGAAGUUAAGUCUCACAGCAUUCAAAAUUGCAAGCUAAGCUUUUUGCUGUUGCCAUCAUGCUCAGAUCCACCAGAACAAUGGAGUUUAAAACAAUGAUUGAUUCUGUUCUAAACACAUACAUGAAUUAAGAGCUGAGAAUGUAAACAUGCAAUUAUUAAAGAGGAAAGGGUAUUUCUUAACUUGGUUCAUUUCCCUCAACUAAGAUCAACUUGGUAUUCAUAUAUAUGCAUCAGAAUAAGUUUGAAUAUACAAACUAUGUUAUAUAUCAAAUUGUUUUCUGCACUUAAACAUACUGUAGACACACUUUUAGGGCCAUUGUUACAGUAUGAAAGGAGCAAGUCUGCUGUUUCAGUUUCUACCAUUUACAAAUAAAACAUGCAAACAAUUCUACCUAAUGCUAAAAAUGAAUAUGCAAGAACUUAAUAUUGUGAUUGUUCAACAGAAAUUGUAAUACACAUGAACUAGUCUAAAUAGAUCACUUUUUCAGUUGAAAGAUCUUGACAAUCUGACUGGUGAAGCACUGCUAUCUAUCAGAUGAAAAGAUUACAGGAUAUGAAACAUAGCUGGUUUUCAAAGACACAUAUUAAUAUCUUGUGAUAUUUUAAUUUCCAAAGAAACAGUAGAGGCCUAGAAUGAGAGGAUUUUAUUCAGCCUUUUAUAUAAAAAUAAUUAUGGCUUUUCUUUGAUUUCCUGCCUUCUGAUUUGUAGCUUCCCAACACCCACUAAAUCCAAAGUCAAGCUGUCUAGUCUUUCAGACUUCCUAGAAGUUUCCAUUUGCUUACAAGUUGAGUUGGGCCAUAUCAUACUUGGAACCAAAACUAAAAAGUUCAAAGAUCUUCAGCAGUUCAGAUUUCAAAACCUAUUUUGAACUCAAACAAUUUUCUUUGAGAGUUGAAAUUCUCACAGAUGUUUGAAAUUCUCCCAGAUGUUUGCAUAAUGUGAGUGUGGAUAACACGAAUGUUAGAUGAGUCUGCAAUUGCCAUCUCCCAUUUUUCCAAUUUUUUUUUUACCUAGUUUAGUACCUCCUAUCUGUUGGCCACUUAGCUAAAUCACCACUUUAAGCAACAUACUGUCAAGCCUAUAAAUUGCCUCUGAGAAAAUGACUAAUGCAGAAUUCAUUGUUAGUUAUACUUCUUUUAUGUAUUUAAAACACCUAUUAUAUGCUUCUAAGGAAAAAAAGAAGUCCACCUUUCUGCAGCAAUGUGGUAGAUAUCACAGCUUGCAUAACCCAUAAUAGUAUAUUAGUGAACAAAUAGUAAAAGAGCUGUGUCUCUUCUACAAAAAUCUCUCCUCAAUCUGUUAGGCUGAUUUUUCUUUAACUUUGCUCCACAUAUGGGCAACCUAUUACACAGAAGUUUUUAUAGGCCUGUUUGGCUGAGCAGAGAAGAUGCGAAUCUGUAAUACUAAUAUAAUCCUAUUGUGUCACAAUGAGGGAGGAAAGGCCAAACAGUCCAUCAGAGGCAGUAAAUCUGAUUCUGUGCAGCAAUGUACAUCAUGCUGAUGGCUUGGUUCAUGGUUAUUGGGUCCUUUACUGCUGCAUGAAUCAAUCUGUUUAAAAAUAUUUUUAUGCAAUUGGAAAUGUUCAUAACUAGAAGUAAAUGGUAUACUUUUUAAAGCAUGUGGUUUAUAUUCAGAGUUUUAUCUGAUUUACCAAAGACCUAAGCAGAAAAUAAAGAUUUAUUUUUUUU